UACGGGGGGGGCAAGCGUUGUUCGGAAUUACUGGGCGUAAAGCGUACGCAGGCGGCUUUGCAAGACAGGUGUGAAAUCCCCGGGCCUAACCUGGGAACUGCAUUUGUGACUGCAUGGCUAGAGUUUGUCAGAGGGGAGUGGAAUUCCACGUGUAGCAGUGAAAUGCGUAGAUAUGUGGAGGAACACCGAUGGCGAAGGCAGCCCCCUGGAAUGUGACUGACGCUCAUGUACGAAAGCGUGGGGAGCAAACAGG
Molecule: ribosomal RNA, 253 nt
Filed under: uncultured bacterium
Lineage: Bacteria
Description: partial 16S ribosomal RNA
Rfam family: Bacterial small subunit ribosomal RNA
Source: RNAcentral